RNAcentral lists this ribosomal RNA (497 nucleotides) under uncultured bacterium. RNAcentral's name for it is "partial 16S ribosomal RNA". It matches the Rfam family "Bacterial small subunit ribosomal RNA", at positions 28 to 507 of the family's 1533-position model. The record is from RNAcentral.
GAUGAACGCUGGCGGCGUGCCUAAUACAUGCAAGUCGAGCGAACAGACGAGGAGCUUGCUCCUCUGACGUUAGCGGCGGACGGGUGAGUAACACGUGGAUAACCUACCUAUAAGACUGGGAUAACUUCGGGAAACCGGAGCUAAUACCGGAUAAUAUAUUGAACCGCAUGGUUCAAUAGUGAAAGACGGUUUUGCUGUCACUUAUAGAUGGAUCCGCGCCGCAUUAGCUAGUUGGUAAGGUAACGGCUUACCAAGGCAACGAUGCGUAGCCGACCGGAGAGGGUGGUCGGCCACACUGGAACUGAGACACGGUCCAGACUCCUACGGGAGGCAGCAGUAGGGAAUCUUCCGCAAUGGGCGAAAGCUUGACGGAGCAACGCCGCGUGAGUGAUGAAGGUCUUCGGAUCGUAAAACUCUGUUAUUAGGGAAGAACAAAUGUGUAAGUAACUAUGCACGUCUUGACGGUACCUAAUCAGAAAGCCACGGCUAACUACGUG